GUGCUCACUUCAGCGGCACAGAUACUAAAAUUGGAAGGAUACAGAGAAGAUUAGCACUGGCCCCUGCAUAAGGAUGACACACAAAUUCUUGAAGCGUUCCAUAUUUAA
RNAcentral lists this small nuclear RNA (108 nucleotides) under Zalophus californianus (California sea lion). The record is from RNAcentral. Lineage: Eukaryota; Metazoa; Chordata; Mammalia; Carnivora; Otariidae.